This 355-nucleotide ribosomal RNA is filed under the name uncultured soil bacterium. RNAcentral describes it as "bacterial SSU rRNA". It matches the Rfam family "Bacterial small subunit ribosomal RNA", at positions 26 to 385 of the family's 1533-position model. The record is from RNAcentral.
AGAUUGAACGCUGGCGGCAUGCCUUACACAUGCAAGUCGAACGGCAGCACGGGAGCAAUCCUGGUGGCGAAUGGCGAACGGGUGAGUAAUACAUCGGAACGUGCCCAAUCGUGGGGGAUAACGCAGCGAAAGCUGUGCUAAUACCGCAUAAGAUCUACGGAUGAAAGCAGGGGAUCGCAAGACCUUGCGCGAAUGGAGCGGCCGAUGGCAGAUUAGGUAGUUGGUGAGGUAAAGGCUCACCAAGCCUUCGAUCUGUAGCUGGUCUGAGAGGACGACCAGCCACACUGGGACUGAGACACGGCCCAGACUCUACGGGAGGCAGCAGUGGGGAAUUUGGACAAUGGGCGAAAGCCUG